CCUACGGGGGGCAGCAGUGAGGAAUAUUGGUCAAUGGACGAGAGUCUGAACCAGCCAAGUAGCGUGAAGGAUGACUGCCCUAUGGGUUGUAAACUUCUUUUAUAUGGGAAUAAAAUGUUCCACGUGUGGGAUUUUGUAUGUACCAUAUGAAUAAGGAUCGGCUAACUCCGUGCCAGCAGCCGCGGUAAUACGGAGGAUCCGAGCGUUAUCCGGAUUUAUUGGGUUUAAAGGGAGCGUAGGUGGAUUGUUAAGUCAGUUGUGAAAGUUUGCGGCUCAACCGUAAAAUUGCAGUUGAAACUGGCAGUCUUGAGUACAGUAGAGGUGGGCGGAAUUCGUGGUGUAGCGGUGAAAUGCUUAGAUAUCACGAAGAACUCCGAUUGCGAAGGCAGUUCACUGAACUGCAACUGACACUGAGGCUCGAAAGUGUGGGUAUCAAACAGGAUUAGAUACCCCUGUAGUC
This 460-nucleotide ribosomal RNA is filed under the name uncultured bacterium. RNAcentral describes it as "partial 16S ribosomal RNA". It matches the Rfam family "Bacterial small subunit ribosomal RNA", at positions 338 to 795 of the family's 1533-position model. The record is from RNAcentral.